AAAUUGAAGAGUUUGAUCAUGGCUCAGAUUGAACGCUGGCGGCAGGCCUAACACAUGCAAGUCGAACGGUAGCACAGAGGAGCUUGCUCCUCGGGUGACGAGUGGCGGACGGGUGAGUAAUGUCUGGGAAACUGCCCGAUGGAGGGGGAUAACUACUGGAAACGGUAGCUAAUACCGCAUAACGUCGCAAGACCAAAGAGGGGGACCUUCGGGCCUCUUGCCAUCGGAUGUGCCCAGAUGGGAUUAGCUAGUAGGUGGGGUAAUGGCUCACCUAGGCGACGAUCCCUAGCUGGUCUGAGAGGAUGACCAGCCACACUGGAACUGAGACACGGUCCAGACUCCUACGGGAGGCAGCAGUGGGGAAUAUUGCACAAUGGGCGCAA
Molecule: ribosomal RNA, 383 nt
Filed under: Citrobacter portucalensis
Lineage: Bacteria; Pseudomonadati; Pseudomonadota; Gammaproteobacteria; Enterobacterales; Enterobacteriaceae
Description: bacterial SSU rRNA
Rfam family: Bacterial small subunit ribosomal RNA
Source: RNAcentral